CCACCGCCCGUCACACCAUUGGGAGUCAGUUUGCUCUAGAAGUCGGUGCGCCAACCUCGGAGGCAGCCGCCUAAACGAGUGACUGGUGACUGGGGUG
This 97-nucleotide ribosomal RNA is filed under the name uncultured bacterium. Its description in RNAcentral is "partial 16S ribosomal RNA". The record is from RNAcentral.